GAUGAACGCUGGCGGCGUGCCUAAUACAUGCAAGUCGAGCGAACAGACGAGGAGCUUGCUCCUCUGACGUUAGCGGCGGGCGGGUGAGUAACACGUGGAUAACCUACCUAUAAGACUGGGAUAACUUCGGGAAACCGGAGCUAAUACCGGAUAAUAUAUUGAACCGCAUGGUUCCAUAGUGAAAGACGGUUUUGCUGUCACUUAUAGAUUGAUCCGCGCCGCAUUAGCUAGUUGGUAAGGUAACGGCUUACCAAGGCAACGAUGCGUAGCCGACCUGAGAGGGUGAUCGGCCACCCUGGAACUGAGACACGGUCCAGACUCCUACGGGAGGCAGCAGUAGGGAAUCUUCCGCAAUGGGCGAAAGCCUGACGGAGCAACGCCGCGUGAGUGAUGAAGGUCUUCGGAUCGUAAAACUCUGUUAUUAGGGAAGAACAAAUGUGUAAGUAACUAUGCACGUCUUGACGGUACCUAAUCAGAAAGCCACGGCUAACUACGUG
RNAcentral lists this ribosomal RNA (497 nucleotides) under uncultured bacterium. RNAcentral describes it as "partial 16S ribosomal RNA". It matches the Rfam family "Bacterial small subunit ribosomal RNA", at positions 28 to 507 of the family's 1533-position model. The record is from RNAcentral.